AGAGUUUGAUCCUGGCUCAGGACGAACGCUGGCGGUAUGCUUAACACAUGCAAGUCGAACGAGACAAAAGAGAAGUGCUUGCACGGAUCUUUUAGAAAGUGGCGAACGGGUGAGUAACGCGUGGGUAACCUACCCUAUGGAAAGGAAUAGCCUCGGGAAACUGGGAGUAAUGCCUUAUAAGAUAUAUUUGUCGCAUGGCAGAUGUAUUAAACGCUCCGGUGCCAUAGGAUGGACCCGCGUCCCAUUAGCUAGUUGGUGAGAUAACAGCCCACCAAGGCGACGAUGGGUAACCGGUCUGAGAGGGCGAACGGUCACACUGGAACUGAGACACGGUCCAGACUCCUACGGGAGGCAGCAGUGGGGAAUAUUGCGCAAUGGGGGAAACCCUGACGCAGCAAUACCGCGUGAGUGAAGAAGGUUUUCGGAUCGUAAAGCUCUGUUAUUGGGGAAGAAAAAAAGACGGUACCCAAGAAGAAAGUCCCGGCUAACUACGUGCCAGCAGCCGCGGUAAUACGUAGGGGACAAGCGUUGUCCGGAUUUACUGGGCGUAAAGGGCACCCACGCGGUUUUUUAAGUCAGAUGUGAAAGGUACCGGCUCAACCGGUGACAUGCAUUUGAAACUGAAAGACUUGAGUAUUGGAGAGGCAAGUGGAAUUCCUAGUGUAGCGGUGAAAUGCGUAGAUAUUAGGAGGAACACCGGUGGCGAAGGCGGCUUGCUGGACAAAUACUGACGCUGAGGUGCGAAAGCGUGGCGAGCAAACAGGAUUAGAUACCCUGGUAGUCCACGCCGUAAACGAUGAGUGCUAGGUGUUGGGGAGACUCAGUGCCGCAGCUAACGCAAUAAGCACUCCGCCUGGGGAGUACGACCGCAAGGUUGAAACUCAAAGGAAUUGACGGGGACCCGCACAAGCAGCGGAGCAUGUGGUUUAAUUCGAAGCAACGCG
This 944-nucleotide ribosomal RNA is filed under the name uncultured bacterium. Its description in RNAcentral is "bacterial SSU rRNA". It matches the Rfam family "Bacterial small subunit ribosomal RNA", at positions 8 to 963 of the family's 1533-position model. The record is from RNAcentral.